This 72-nucleotide transfer RNA is filed under the name Ovis aries (sheep). It matches the Rfam family "tRNA". Rfam says of the family: Transfer RNA (tRNA) molecules are approximately 80 nucleotides in length. Lineage: Eukaryota; Metazoa; Chordata; Mammalia; Artiodactyla; Bovidae. The record is from Rfam by way of RNAcentral.
UCCCUGGUGGUUCAGUGGUCAGGGCUCGGCGCUUUUGCUGCUGGGGCUUGGGUUCAAUCCCUGGUCAGGGAA